This 267-nucleotide ribosomal RNA is filed under the name uncultured bacterium. Its description in RNAcentral is "partial 16S ribosomal RNA". It matches the Rfam family "Bacterial small subunit ribosomal RNA", at positions 92 to 354 of the family's 1533-position model. The record is from RNAcentral.
CGACCGGCGCACGGGUGAGUAACACGUAUGCAACCUGGCCGUCACAGGUGGGAUAACCGGAAGAAAUUCCGACUAAUACAGCAUAACACUCCUGAGGGACAUCCUUCGGGAGUCAAAGGAGGCAACUCCGGUGACGGAUGGGCAUGCGGCGCAUUAGGUAGUUGGUAGGGUAACGGCCUACCAAGCCGACGAUGCGUAGGGGUUCUGAGAGGAAGGUCCCCCACAUUGGAACUGAGACACGGUCCAAACUCCUACGGGAGGCAGCAG